This 481-nucleotide ribosomal RNA is filed under the name uncultured bacterium. RNAcentral describes it as "partial 16S ribosomal RNA". It matches the Rfam family "Bacterial small subunit ribosomal RNA", at positions 28 to 507 of the family's 1533-position model. The record is from RNAcentral.
GACGAACGUUGGCGGCGUGCUUAAUACAUGCAAGUCAACUGAAGCAGUGGUAGCAAUAUCGCUGUGGAGGUGGCGCACGGGUGAGUAACACGUAGGUAAUCUGCCUUCAGGUCUGGCAUAACUCCGGGAAACCGGGGCUAAUAGCAGAUGAUGCAGCGGCUCGACAUCGAGACAGUUGUUAAAGCUAUGGCGCCUGAAGAUGAGCCUGCGUCUGAUUAGCUAGUUGGCGGGGUAACGGCCCACCAAGGCAACGAUCAGUAGCUGGUCUGAGAGGAUGAUUAGCCACACUGGAACUGAGACACGGUCCAGACUCCUACGGGAGGCAGCAGUAAGGAAUAUUGCGCAAUGGGAGAAAUCCUGAAGCAGCAACGCCGCGUGAGGGACGAAGGGCUUUUGCUUGUAAACCUCUGUAGUGAGAGAAAAAAAUCCCAAUCUUUGGGACAUGAUGGUAUCUCAAAAGUAAGCCCCGGCUAACUACGUG